UGAUGCAUGGAUCGAACCACAUAUCAUGUCCCGGUGAAUCAAAAGCUAGCUCUUACAAUUAUUACGGACAUGGUCACAUGCAUGCCCCAAAACACACACAGACGAAAAGUCAGCCAUGUGAAAGGAACCAACCUACUUUUUGGAAAAAGAAAAAAAAAAGACAGAACACAACAAUAUAAGGUUCAAACUCAACACCUACCCUCCAAUUCCAUUGUCUAUCUAUAAAAGUUCAGUUCAAUCCCAACUUGGACUGCAAGAUCAGGUUUCCUCAGCUUCACCAUAUCUCAGCUCGUGUCCUCCACGCUCCAACCUUUUUUCUAUUUUUGGUAGUAGAAUACAAUUUAAGAAAAAAAAAAAAAAAAGAAGACAAUCUCUACUUCUUUUGGAAGUUUCGAAUUACAAUAGUUGUAUAAGUUUACACGUAAAGAAACGAAUCGUUCGUAGUAUUAAGUUUUGUUGAAUUUGAUUGAUUCUCUUCUUCUAGAACCUUUUCAUCUUUCGGUGAACUAAAUUGUAGCAUUUCCAUGUCACCGUUAAAUACGAGAAAAC
Molecule: long non-coding RNA, 549 nt
Filed under: Capsella rubella
Lineage: Eukaryota; Viridiplantae; Streptophyta; Magnoliopsida; Brassicales; Brassicaceae
Description: long non-coding RNA (CRUB_LNC004884)
Source: RNAcentral